UUGAUGGUAGUGUAUUGGACUACCAUGGCUAUCACGGGUAACGGAGAAUUAGGGUUCGAUUCCGGAGAGGGAGCCUGAGAAACGGCUACCACAGCUACGGUAGGCAGCAGGUGCGUAAAUUACCCAAUCCAAACUCUGGAAGGUAGUUACAGGAAAUUUGUUGCAUAGGCUUCUAGCCUAGACACAAACGAACACAUGUACGUAUUGUGUGUUUAAUUGGAGGGCAAGUUUUGGUGCCAGCAGCCGCGGUAAUUCCAACUCCAAGAGUGUAUCUUAAUGUUGCUGCAGUUAAAAAGCUCGUAGUUGAACUUCUGGCUGUUGAGUCCGCAUCUUUGUAGACUCGGCAGUCAUCCGCUAGGAGAAGCAGUAUUUCUGUCAAAGGUUUUACUGCGGACCCAGCAUUUUACUUUGAAGAAAUUAGAGUGUUCCUGGCAGGCUAAGCUUGCAUAUAUUAGCAUGGAAUAAUGGAAUAGGACCUUUUCUGUUUUAUUGGUUGACAGAUAGGUAAUGAUUAACAGGGACAGUCGGGGGCAUUCGUACUCAGUGGCUAGAGGUGAAAUUCUUAGAUUCGCUGAAGACGCACUAAUGCGAAAGCAUUUGCCAAGGAUGUUUUCAUUAAUCAAGAACGAAAGUUAGGGGAUCAAAGACGAUUAGAUACCGUC
RNAcentral lists this ribosomal RNA (662 nucleotides) under uncultured eukaryote. Its description in RNAcentral is "SSU rRNA". It matches the Rfam family "Eukaryotic small subunit ribosomal RNA", at positions 322 to 1019 of the family's 1831-position model. The record is from RNAcentral.